AUCAAAAACAUGUCCUAUAGAUAUUAAUUUUAGGUUGGGCCUGCUCAAUGAUUUAUUAAAUUGCUAUAGUAUUUUAACUAUACAAAGGUAGCAUAAUAAUUUGUCUUUUAAUUGAAGGCUUGUAUGAAUGGUUUGACGAGGGGUAAACUUUCUUAAUUUAAUAUUAUAUUGAAUUUAAAAUUUUUGUAAAAAGGCUUAAAUGUAGUUGUGGGACGAGAAGACCCUUUAGAAUUUUAAUUAAUAUUGGAAAAUAAUAUUAUGGUUGAAAAAAUAUUAUUUUCCAAUAUUAAUUUUUGUUGGGGUGAUAGUGGAAUAUUUUUAACUUCUAUUAAUUAUAUAAUCAUGAAUUAGUGUAUAAUUGAUCCUUUAUUAUGGAUUAAAAGAUUAAAUUACCUUAGGGAUAACAGCGUUAUUAUUUCGGAGAGUUCUUAUUAAUGAAAUAGUUUGCGACCUCGAUGUUGGAUUAAAGUUAAUUUUAGGUGUAGAAGCUUAAAUAAUUAGGUCUGUUCGACCUUUAAAUCUUUACAUGAUCUGAGUUC
This 539-nucleotide ribosomal RNA is filed under the name Euscopus rufipes. Its description in RNAcentral is "partial 16S ribosomal RNA". It matches the Rfam family "Bacterial large subunit ribosomal RNA", at positions 1806 to 2612 of the family's 2925-position model. Lineage: Eukaryota; Metazoa; Arthropoda; Insecta; Hemiptera; Pyrrhocoridae. The record is from RNAcentral.